UACAUUCGUCUGGGGUGCCAGUUAUGGCUGAGAUUAUACCCAUCGAACCUGAUGUAGUUUGUACUGCCGAAGGAAGAACGAGCUGGGAUAUAU
This 93-nucleotide non-coding RNA is filed under the name Lentilactobacillus diolivorans. Its description in RNAcentral is "Lactobacillus diolivorans TPP sequence". It matches the Rfam family "TPP riboswitch aptamer (THI element)". From Rfam's summary of the family: Vitamin B(1) in its active form thiamin pyrophosphate (TPP) is an essential coenzyme that is synthesised by coupling of pyrimidine and thiazole moieties in bacteria. The previously detected thiamin-regulatory element, thi box was extended, resulting in a new, highly conserved RNA secondary structure, the THI element, which is widely distributed in eubacteria and also occurs in some archaea. The record is from RNAcentral. Lineage: Bacteria; Bacillati; Bacillota; Bacilli; Lactobacillales; Lactobacillaceae.